GACGAACGCUGGCGGCGUGCCUAAUACAUGCAAGUCGAACGCUUCUUUCCUCCCGAGUGCUUGCACUCAAUUGGAAAGAGGAGUGGCGGACGGGUGAGUAACACGUGGGUAACCUACCCAUCAGAGGGGGAUAACACUUGGAAACAGGUCUAAUACCGCAUAACAGUUUAUGCCGCAUGGCAUAAGAGUGAAAGGCGCUUUCGGGUGUCGCUGAUGGAUGGACCCGCGGUGCAUUAGCUAGUUGGUGAGGUAACGGCUCACCAAGGCCACGAUGCAUAGCCGACCUGAGAGGGUGAUCGGCCACACUGGGACUGAGACACGGCCCAGACUCCUACGGGAGGCAGCAGUAGGGAAUCUUCGGCAAUGGACGAAAGUCUGACCGAGCAACGCCGCGUGAGUGAAGAAGGUUUUCGGAUCGUAAAACUCUGUUGUUAGAGAAGAACAAGGACGUUAGUAACUGAACGUCCCCUGACGGUAUCUAACCAGAAAGCCACGGCUAACUACGUG
RNAcentral lists this ribosomal RNA (507 nucleotides) under uncultured bacterium. Its description in RNAcentral is "partial 16S ribosomal RNA". It matches the Rfam family "Bacterial small subunit ribosomal RNA", at positions 28 to 507 of the family's 1533-position model. The record is from RNAcentral.